RNAcentral lists this ribosomal RNA (482 nucleotides) under uncultured bacterium. Its description in RNAcentral is "SSU rRNA". It matches the Rfam family "Bacterial small subunit ribosomal RNA", at positions 26 to 518 of the family's 1533-position model. The record is from RNAcentral.
AGGACGAACGCUGGCGGCGUGCCUAACACAUGCAAGUGGAGCGACGAACCAGGCUUCGGCCUGGGGCAGAGCCGCGAACGGGUGAGUAACACGUGGGUAACCUGCCCUGAUGAUUGGGACAACCCGAGGAAACUCGGGCUAAUACCAAAUGUGCCCCUUGGCCUCAAGGCCUCUGGGGAAAGGAAGCUUCGGCCUCCGCAUCGGGAUGGGCCCGCGGCCCAUUAGCUUGUUGGUGAGGUAAUGGCUCACCAAGGCUACGACGGGUAGCUGGUCUGAGAGGACGAUCAGCCACACUGGGACUGAGACACGGCCCAGACUCCUACGGGAGGCAGCAGUGGGGAAUCUUGCGCAAUGCGCGAAAGCGUGACGCAGCAACGCCGCGUGGAGGAUGAAGCCCCUUGGGGCGUAAACUCCUUUCGAUCGGGACGAUUAUGACGGUACCGGAAGAAGAACGCCCCGGCUAACUUCGUGCCAGCAGCCGC